GAGGAAUAUUGGUCAAUGGGCGAGAGCCUGAACCAGCCAAGUAGCGUGCAGGAUGACGGCCCUAUGGGUUGUAAACUGCUUUUGUACGGGGAUAAAGGAGCUUACGUGUAAGUUUUUGCAGGUACCGUACGAAUAAGGACCGGCUAAUUCCGUGCCAGCAGCCGCGGUAAUACGGAAGGUCCGGGCGUUAUCCGGAUUUAUUGGGUUUAAAGGGAGCGCAGGCUGUCGGUUAAGCGUGUUGUGAAAUGUAGGUGCCCAACACCUGCACUGCAGCGCGAACUGGCUGACUUGAGUACGCACGACGUUGGCGGAAUUUGCCGUGUAGCGGUGAAAUGCUUAGAUAUGGCGAAGAACUCCGAUUGCGAAGGCAGCUGACGGGAGCGCAACUGACGCUGAAGCUCGAAAGCGCGGGUAUCGAAC
This 420-nucleotide ribosomal RNA is filed under the name uncultured bacterium. RNAcentral's name for it is "bacterial SSU rRNA". It matches the Rfam family "Bacterial small subunit ribosomal RNA", at positions 356 to 773 of the family's 1533-position model. The record is from RNAcentral.